Molecule: non-coding RNA, 155 nt
Filed under: Candidatus Omnitrophota bacterium
Lineage: Bacteria; Pseudomonadati; Candidatus Omnitrophota
Description: Omnitrophica WOR c-di-GMP sequence
Rfam family: c-di-GMP-I riboswitch aptamer
About the family: GEMM was predicted in a large-scale screen for bacterial structured RNA regulatory elements. Genes associated with GEMM are involved in a diverse array of functions, including chemotaxis regulation, signal transduction, secretion and chitin.
Source: RNAcentral
GCCGAUAAAGGCAAACCCGGGGAAACCCGGGGGCGCAAAGCCAACAGACCUACGAUAUCACGAAACCGGGAAGGCCCUGUUGAGUCCUGUGGGACGGGGCAUAAAUAGACAUGAACCAGGGGACUAGAGAUAUUACGGUGGCUGGGUUGCCGAAG